UUGGUGACCAAAUGCUCAAAAUGGCUGUAUAUAAAUUUCAAUCUCAGGCAUCUAGAAACUCACCGAGUGUUCCCAGUCAAUUUCCUCAGUCUGCGGCUUCUCAGCAGCAACAUUCGCAAAUGCCAACAGAUGAUUCUAGUAAUAUGGCAAUUGAGAGUAAUGCUCAAAAGUUGCGCGAGAAUGAAUGAAUUCAAAAAC
This is a long non-coding RNA of Nicotiana attenuata, 198 nucleotides long. RefSeq lists it as uncharacterized. Lineage: Eukaryota; Viridiplantae; Streptophyta; Magnoliopsida; Solanales; Solanaceae. The record is from RefSeq and is a predicted model, not a curated record. The transcript has 3 exons.